This 769-nucleotide ribosomal RNA is filed under the name uncultured Bacillus sp. RNAcentral describes it as "bacterial SSU rRNA". It matches the Rfam family "Bacterial small subunit ribosomal RNA", at positions 26 to 776 of the family's 1533-position model. The record is from RNAcentral. Lineage: Bacteria; Bacillati; Bacillota; Bacilli; Caryophanales; Bacillaceae.
AGGACGAACGCUGGCGGCGUGCCUAAUACAUGCAAGUCGAGCGGACCGACGGGAGCUUGCUCCCUUAGGUCAGCGGCGGACGGGUGAGUAACACGUGGGUAACCUGCCUGUAAGACUGGGAUAACUCCGGGAAACCGGGGCUAAUACCGGAUGCUUGAUUGAGCCGCAUGGUUCAAUUAUAAAAGGUGGCUUUCAGCUACCACUUACAGAUGGACCCGCGGCGCAUUAGCUAGUUGGUGAGGUAACGGCUCACCAAGGCGACGAUGCGUAGCCGACCUGAGAGGGUGAUCGGCCACACUGGGACUGAGACACGGCCCAGACUCCUACGGGAGGCAGCAGUAGGGAAUCUUCCGCAAUGGACGAAAGUCUGACGGAGCAACGCCGCGUGAGUGAUGAAGGUUUUCGGAUCGUAAAACUCUGUUGUUAGGGAAGAACAAGUACCGUUCGAAUAGGGCGGCACCUUGACGGUACCUAACCAGAAAGCCACGGCUAACUACGUGCCAGCAGCCGCGGUAAUACGUAGGUGGCAAGCGUUGUCCGGAAUUAUUGGGCGUAAAGCGCGCGCAGGCGGUUUCUUAAGUCUGAUGUGAAAGCCCCCGGCUCAACCGGGGAGGGUCAUUGGAAACUGGGGAACUUGAGUGCAGAAGAGGAGAGUGGAAUUCCACGUGUAGCGGUGAAAUGCGUAGAGAUGUGGAGGAACACCAGUGGCGAAGGCGACUCUCUGGUCUGUAACUGACGCUGAGGCGCGAAAGCGUGGGGAGCGAACAGG